UAAUUUCAACCAACCCCUCUACAGUGCGAGUAAAACGCGCGAAUACACCUUCACAAUCAAAUUCACGCGAAACGGCACAUAAAAUAUCGUACUUUUUGCGAAAUUACCGUUUUGCCAACACCAACUCUCCUCGAUCAACGCGCAAUCUCCGCAGAUCCGUCCGUCAAAUUUGCGAACGGAUCACACCAAUGCGAUCAGCAUGACGGAGACAACAAAGCUACAAAUUUGGUUCACCUCGAUCGACCGCUGAUUCGCGACGAAAUCCGUUUUCUCUCCAAAAGGCAGAAAUGACGCACAAUUACAUAUAAAACAUGUAUUUUCGGAUUUUCUCGAAAUUCAUGCGUCAAACUCAAAAUCCGUCAACGCCAAUAGUUCCAGAAUAGCUGAACCGUUCGAAACGAGCUAUUGGACUGCUAUAAACGGAGUCCGGUAUGAGCCAGAAGCCAACUUCACACCGUGGCUUCUCCAGAAAAUUGAGUUACUAUUCACUUUAAGUGAAACUUGGAAAUCGCGUAAAAUCUUCAUUUUAACUCAUUUUUGUCUGAAAUUUGACGAGUGCUUUUAUAAUUAAAUUACACACAAAAACAUCGUCAACUGAGAGUUUAGCUACACUGCAAAAAUCUCAGUCCUUAUAUUAGUGUAGGUUGUAUUUACGCUUGUGUUGAGGUGCCAAGUAAAUUUUUACAGUAGAGUUUAGCCUAAUUCUCAUUGUCGAGUACCGUUUGGACUAAUGAUGAAUCCU
This 742-nucleotide long non-coding RNA is filed under the name Ananas comosus (pineapple). RNAcentral describes it as "long non-coding RNA (ACOM_LNC027987)". The record is from RNAcentral. Lineage: Eukaryota; Viridiplantae; Streptophyta; Magnoliopsida; Poales; Bromeliaceae.